UUUAAUCUUUUUCAUAAAUUUUAGGUAGUGGAGUGGGUGACAGUAACAACAACGUGUUCUCUAUCUGAUUCUAUCGACACUUUAACCAAUAACAAUGAGAUUAGUGUGACUAUCCACCGUCCACCACCUAGAGAAGCCAAUAGCAACAGGCUUACUAUUACCGCCUUUAUCGAUCAUUUUAUCGUUCCAGGACUUUCCAUCUCCCUUUCUCCUCUUCCGAACACAAAACGAUUGACUCUCUCAUCUUCUACCGCCUUUUGCUCCGCUCCAACGUAUCUUUUAAUCCGACGGCCACCAUCGCCUCUCCCUCUGACUCCUUCCCUCUACCUCAAUUGAAAAAAAGGGUUAACUCGACUGAUGUACAUAAGUUCUUCGAGAAACUCUCUAACCGCCUCCAACUUGAUGUCUCCUCCACCUUCCCUACACUCGAUCGCCUCACAACUGUACUUCCCCUUAUCAACUCUUUUUUCGCUAUCUAAAUACCCCACCGCCACCGAUUUCAUAGAACGUUUCUUCCUGCUCUCAUCUUGCUCCCGUUCCAAUCUGGUCGACUCUUCCUCUGCAUUCCAGUUCCUUCCACUGCUCCCAUUGAUUUUGCUCCAGGUAUGUAACACUCGGCCUGCUAAAGAGUUCCUCGAUUUCUUCCUCUACUGCUUCUAUUGUUUUCUGUCUUCCUUCCUAUUUUCUCGUUCUUCUUUCUACUGUAUGUUGCAGGUGUGGCCUUUCGUCUCUUCUUCUGUGUGUUGUCAUUAGGUCAAUAUUCCCUUCCAGUUGUUGAUGCCAAAUGAUUAGUCGAAGACCAAAUCCAAGUGUUAACUUUGCCAUCUGCAACUUAUUCAACUUAACUGAGUAAUGAAGAUUCAACCCGCCCUUCCCAGUAGAGAGCUUCUCAAGUAAAAUCCAACCACUCUUUUUCUUUUUAAGUUGUAUAAUUCAGGCUUUAAAUUGGUUGUUUGCUUCCUUUUAGAAGUAGGUUCAUUUUGGUUAUUCAUGUUUCUUUCUUAUUUGAUUUUAAUUUUUGAGUAUGCUGCUACUAAUUUCUAUCAAUUUGGAUUAGGGUUGGGUUUCUAAAACCCUAUUUUUCUUCCGGAUUUCGUUGACAAAAUGAUUUUUUUUUACUAUCACUUUUUUUAACUUGAUCAGAUACUCAUCUGGGAGGUACAAGGGUGGAUGUCCACAGGUUACCUCAGAGCUAUGAGUGAUCACAUACUGAUAGUUAGAACUUAAUGGUGGGUCUUGUGAAGCUCUGUUUACAUUGCACUGUCAGUGUACACAUGGAUUCAUGUGUUGGAUAUGCCACAAGCUAGGCAUGGAGCAACUUUCCAGGAAGACAUAAGUAGAGGAAAACUCUAUGGAAUCAUCUGUCCAGCAACCCCAUCAUUCCAUCCAGUCAUGUAGUUGUUGCUUCAUGAAUUGUUGAAUACUCAUAUAAGGAAGGUGAGACAAUUCUUAUGGUGAAGUUUGCAGGUAAUUAUUGAAUAUUGAUGAGUAAUAAUUGGUGAAGUUUAUGUUACAGUGAAUUUUGUAGAAAAUGUCUCCGGUGAUCAGGUACUUGAUUGUUAUAAUUGGUGAAAUUUAUGUUACAAAGAAGUUUGUAGAAAACUUCUUCGGUGAUCAGCUGCAUGAUUGUUAUCUAUUCUACGGUUUGAAAUUCUUUUGGAGAUGUAAAUACUUCAUGUAAAAUCACCAUCUGUUAGUGUUUUAUCAACUGCACUUAUGUGUUUUUAGUCAUGACACAUACAAUCUUCCUCAUUGAUUCCAAAUCUACAUGUUUAACAUUAACAGGUACGUUUCCUAGCAAGUUCCUUUGGAGUUCCUAGGAAUCAUCUUGGUCAACAAAUUUAUCGUUUCUACUUGCCUUAUGAACCUGAUAAUAAAAAUUUUAAAGGAUUGAAAAUUGCAACACGACAUGUGACAACACAUACUAUUAGACUGUUAAUUUUUGGGUGCGAAUGUGGCGGUUUCAUUGGGGUAUCCUGUCAAAACAUGGGUCAACUAAGAAACUCCUUUGCUGCAGCAAUUACUGUACUUGAUCAAAAUCCGAUGUCAUUAUGUGAGUCUGCUCAUGAAUCUGGUUGAGAUGUGUAGAUAUCAGGAGAUGUUGCUGCAGAGUUGAGAGGUCUGGCGGAGAUCAGAUGCAGCGUUUAUUGGAUGCUAGUUGAGGAUAAUCCACUUAAGCAAAUAAUCUCCAUCACCGCAACUUAUAAUCUUGGGUUCAGUCAUCAGCUAACUUAACAAUAUGUGGACCCGCCUUCAGGGAAAUGUUGUAAAACUCACCGAGUUGGCUGAUUACUCCUCCGAGUACCCGCUACUCGGCCCCUUACCGAGGCGAGUUACAAAAUCCCGAGUACUCCCUGAUCAACCCCUUACUGAACUGAGUAGUGUUGUAAAACGCGGUCAACUCGGUGAUUAAUAUGUAUAAUAUACUUAAUGAUUUGUUAUUUAACACACACAUGUGAUUAUUACUACAUAUAUAUCUUAAAUUUUCAAUAAUUAUUCACGAAGUGAGACCAUUAUGUGUUUUCUAGCU
Long non-coding RNA from Lactuca sativa (garden lettuce), 2530 nucleotides. RefSeq lists it as uncharacterized. The record is from RefSeq and is a predicted model, not a curated record. NCBI's taxonomy places the organism in Eukaryota, Viridiplantae, Streptophyta, Magnoliopsida, Asterales, Asteraceae.